RNAcentral lists this ribosomal RNA (468 nucleotides) under uncultured bacterium. Its description in RNAcentral is "partial 16S ribosomal RNA". It matches the Rfam family "Bacterial small subunit ribosomal RNA", at positions 28 to 507 of the family's 1533-position model. The record is from RNAcentral.
GACGAACGCUGGCGGCGUGCUUAACACAUGCAAGUCGAACGGAAAGGCCCUGCUCUUGUUGCUUUCUCGAUUGGCGAACGGGUGAGUAACACGUGAGUAACCUCUCCUUGUCUUUCUGAUAACUCUACGAAACUCCGGCUAAUAUCCCAUAUGAUCUCCUGCUGCACGUUGUGCGUUGGAAAGUUUCGGCGGUUGGGGAUGGACUCGCUGCUUAUCAGCUUGUUUGUGGGGUAGUUGCUUACCAAGGCUUUGACGGGUAGCCGGCAUGAGCGGGUGACCGGCCACAUGGGGACUGAGAUACGGACCAGAAUCCAACGGGAGGCAGUAGUGGGGAAUAUUGCGGAACAGCGGGGAGCGUGAUGCAGAGGUGCCGGGUGCGGAAUGACGGCCUUCGGGCUGUAAACAAAUUUCGAAUGUAACGAAGAGUGAGUGACGGUAAUGGGUAAGAAAGCAACGGCUAACUACGUG